GAUGAAGAACGUAGCGAAACGCGAAAGUUAAUGCGAAUUGCAGAAUCAGUGAGUCAUCGAGUUUUUGAACGCACAUUGCGCCUCUUGGUAUUCCAGGAGACACGCCUGUUCGAGCGCCAUUACAAACUCCAAGCCGCUGCUUGAUGUUGGACGGUGUCCGGAGAGGGACACGUCUGGAACGCGUUGGCGCCGCCGGCGGACCACGAGCGUAGCAAGACGAAAGUCAAUCGUUCGGUUUUGGAUUCCGUCGGUGGCGGCCUGCCGCGCACCGUGAGAUCGCACGACGUCACGGUGCUCACCCACACAAAGUUUGGCCUCGGAUCAGGCGGGGAUACCCGCUGAACUUAAGCAUAUCAAUAAGCGGAGGA
This 368-nucleotide unclassified non-coding RNA is filed under the name soil metagenome. RNAcentral describes it as "partial contains 5.8S ribosomal RNA, internal transcribed spacer 2, and large subunit ribosomal RNA". The stretch from base 1 to 119 matches the Rfam family "5.8S ribosomal RNA", at positions 35 to 154 of the family's 154-position model. The record is from RNAcentral.